AAAAGAAACCAACAGGGAUUGCCUUAGUAGCGGCGAGUGAAGCGGCAAAAGCUCAAAUUUGAAAUCUGGCACUUUCAGUGUCCGAGUUGUAAUUUGAAGAAGGUAUCUUUGGGUCUGGCUCUUGUCUAUGUUUCUUGGAACAGAACGUCACAGAGGGUGAGAAUCCCGUGCGAUGAGAUGUCCCAGACCUAUGUAAAGUUCCUUCGAAGAGUCGAGUUGUUUGGGAAUGCAGCUCUAAGUGGGUGGUAAAUUCCAUCUAAAGCUAAAUAUUGGCGAGAGACCGAUAGCGAACAAGUACAGUGAUGGAAAGAUGAAAAGAACUUUGAAAAGAGAGUGAAAAAGUACGUGAAAUUGUUGAAAGGGAAGGGCUUGAGAUCAGACUUGGUAUUUUGUAUGUUACUCUCUCGGGGGUGGCCUCUACAGUUUACCGGGCCAGCAUCAGUUUGAGCGGAGGAUAAGUGCAAAGAAAUGUGGCACUGCUUCGGUAGUGUGUUAUAGUCUUUGUCGAUACUGCCAGCUUAGACUGAGGACUGCGGCUUCGGCCUAGGAUGUUGGCAUAAUGAUCUUAAGUCGCCCGUCUUAA
This 583-nucleotide ribosomal RNA is filed under the name Lodderomyces parapsilosis. Its description in RNAcentral is "Candida parapsilosis partial large subunit ribosomal RNA". It matches the Rfam family "Eukaryotic large subunit ribosomal RNA", at positions 57 to 657 of the family's 3401-position model. Lineage: Eukaryota; Fungi; Ascomycota; Pichiomycetes; Serinales; Debaryomycetaceae. The record is from RNAcentral.